This 285-nucleotide unclassified non-coding RNA is filed under the name plant metagenome. RNAcentral describes it as "partial contains small subunit ribosomal RNA, internal transcribed spacer 1, and 5.8S ribosomal RNA". The stretch from base 1 to 54 matches the Rfam family "Eukaryotic small subunit ribosomal RNA", at positions 1778 to 1831 of the family's 1831-position model. The record is from RNAcentral.
GGAAGUAAAAGCCGUAACAAGGUUUCCGUAGGUGAACCUGCGGAAGGAUCAUUAUUGUAUAACCGAGGUGCGAGGGCUGUCGCUGACCCGACAGGUCGUGCACGCCCGAGUGCCCUCACACAUAUCCAUCUCACCCCUAUGUGCACCACCGCGUGGGUCCCCCUUUGGCUUGUUCGGAGGGGGGCUUACGUUUUCACACAAACUUUGUAUGCAGUGUAGAAUGUAUUUUUUGUUGUUGCGAUCACGCAAUCAAUACAACUUUCAACAACGGAUCUCUUGGCUCUC